UACGGAGGAGGCAAGCGUUAUCCGGAAUUAUUGGGCGUAAAGCGUCCGCAGGUGGCAGUUCAAGUCUGCUGUCAAAGACCGGGGCUUAACUUCGGAAAGGCAGUGGAAACUGAACAGCUAGAGUAUGGUAGGGGCAGAGGGAAUUCCUGGUGUAGCGGUGAAAUGCGUAGAUAUCAGGAAGAACAUCGGUGGCGAAGGCGCUCUGCUGGACCAUAACUGACACUCAGGGACGAAAGCUAGGGGAGCGAAUGGG
RNAcentral lists this ribosomal RNA (253 nucleotides) under uncultured bacterium. RNAcentral describes it as "partial 16S ribosomal RNA". It matches the Rfam family "Bacterial small subunit ribosomal RNA", at positions 524 to 776 of the family's 1533-position model. The record is from RNAcentral.